AUACGUAGGGGGCGAGCGUUGUCCGGAAUGAUUGGGCGUAAAGGGCGCGUAGGCGGCCCGGUAAGUCUGGAGUGAAAGUCCUGUUUUUAAGAUGGGAAUUGCUUUGGAUACUGUCGGGCUUGAGUGCAGGAGAGGUAAGUGGAAUUCCCAGUGUAGCGGUGAAAUGCGUAGAGAUUGGGAGGAACACCAGUGGUGAAGGCGGCUUACUGGACUGUAACUGACGCUGAGGCGCGAAAGUGUGGGGAGCAAACAGGAUUAGAUACCCUGGUAGUCCACACUGUAAACGAUGAAUGCUAGGUGUAAGAGGUAUCGACCCCUUUUGUGCCGGAGUCAACACAAUAAGCAUUCCGCCUGGGGAGUACGGCCGCAAGGUUGAAACUCAAAUGAAUUGACGGGG
Molecule: ribosomal RNA, 397 nt
Filed under: uncultured bacterium
Lineage: Bacteria
Description: partial 16S ribosomal RNA
Rfam family: Bacterial small subunit ribosomal RNA
Source: RNAcentral